RNAcentral lists this ribosomal RNA (253 nucleotides) under uncultured prokaryote. Its description in RNAcentral is "partial 16S ribosomal RNA". It matches the Rfam family "Bacterial small subunit ribosomal RNA", at positions 524 to 776 of the family's 1533-position model. The record is from RNAcentral.
UACGAAGGACCCGAGCGUUAUCCGGAUUCAUUGGGUUUAAAGGGUGCGUAGGCGGGUUGAUAAGUCAGUGGUGAAAGCCCAACGCUUAACGUUGGAACUGCCAUUGAUACUGUCGAUCUUGAAUGUGUUUGAUGUGGGCGGAAUAUGACAUGUAGCGGUGAAAUGCUUAGAUAUGUCAUAGAACACCGAUUGCGAAGGCAGCUCACAAAGCCACUAUUGACGCUGAGGCACGAAAGCGUGGGGAUCAAACAGG